Molecule: non-coding RNA, 29 nt
Filed under: Homo sapiens (human)
Lineage: Eukaryota; Metazoa; Chordata; Mammalia; Primates; Hominidae
Source: RNAcentral
ACCUGGUGAACUCAUUUCCUUAAGGGCUA